Molecule: small nuclear RNA, 103 nt
Filed under: Lynx canadensis (Canada lynx)
Lineage: Eukaryota; Metazoa; Chordata; Mammalia; Carnivora; Felidae
Also listed under: 1 other name
Description: U2 spliceosomal RNA (ENSLCNG00005011614.1)
Rfam family: U2 spliceosomal RNA
About the family: U2 is a small nuclear RNA (snRNA) component of the spliceosome (involved in pre-mRNA splicing).
Source: Rfam by way of RNAcentral
GUCACUUCUUGGCCUUUUGCCUAAGAUCAAGUGUAGUACCUGUUCUUACCAGUUUAAUAUUUUUAUCACCCAAACAGUGUACAAUAACAAGGCCAAACCCUUA